This 1130-nucleotide ribosomal RNA is filed under the name Polyporales sp. Its description in RNAcentral is "eukaryotic LSU rRNA". The stretch from base 531 to 1130 matches the Rfam family "Eukaryotic large subunit ribosomal RNA", at positions 1 to 601 of the family's 3401-position model. Lineage: Eukaryota; Fungi; Basidiomycota; Agaricomycetes; Polyporales. The record is from RNAcentral.
ACGGGUUGUCUGCUGGCUCGAAAGAGCAUGUGCACGCCUGGCUCAUCCACUCUCAACUUCUGUGCACUUUUCGUAGGCCGGCUUGUGGGUGCCGCGUUCGCGCGCACUUGUAGGUCUGGCUUAUGCUCUACCACAAACGAUUCAGUUAUAGAAUGUCUUUACUUUGCGAUAACGCAAUUAUAUACAACUUUCAGCAACGGAUCUCUUGGCUCUCGCAUCGAUGAAGAACGCAGCGAAAUGCGAUAAGUAAUGUGAAUUGCAGAAUUCAGUGAAUCAUCGAAUCUUUGAACGCACCUUGCGCUCCUUGGUAUUCCGAGGAGCAUGCCUGUUUGAGUCUCGUGGAAUUCUCAACCUUCGACUUUGUUGUCGAGGGCUUGGACUUGGAGGUCGUGCCGGCUCUCGUAGUCGGCUCCUCUGAAAUGCAUCAGUGCGAACGUUACCAGCCGCUUCAGCGUGAUAAUUAUCUGCGCUGCUGUGGAGGGUAUGUCAGUGUUCAUGCUUCGAACCGUCUUCGGACAACAUUUCAUCUCUGAGCUCAAAUCAGGUAGGACUACCCGCUGAACUUAAGCAUAUCAAUAAGCGGAGGAAAAGAAACUAACAAGGAUUCCCCUAGUAACUGCGAGUGAAGCGGGAAAAGCUCAAAUUUAAAAUCUGGCGGUCUUUGGCCGUCCGAGUUGUAAUCUGGAGAAGCGUCUUCCGCGCUGGACCGUGUACAAGUCUCUUGGAACAGAGCGUCAUAGAGGGUGAGAAUCCCGUCUUUGACACGGACUACCAGUGCUAUGUGAUGCGCUCUCGAUGAGUCGAGUUGUUUGGGAAUGCAGCUCAAAAUGGGUGGUAAAUUCCAUCUAAAGCUAAAUAUUGGCGAGAGACCGAUAGCGAACAAGUACCGUGAGGGAAAGAUGAAAAGCACUUUGGAAAGAGAGUUAAACAGUACGUGAAAUUGCUGAAAGGGAAACGCUUGAAGUCAGUCGCGUGUGCUAGAACUCAGCCUUGCUUCUGCUUGGUGCAUUUUCUAGUGUACGGGCCAGCAUCAGUUUUGGCUGCCGGAUAAAGGCCUUGGGAAUGUGGCACCUUCGGGUGUGUUAUAGCCCUCGGUUGUAUACGGUGGGUGGGACUGAGGAUCUCAGCAC